ACAGCUCCGAGCAGAGCACCAGAAGGAGGGUUGCGCAGCAGGGAUUGAUGUUAUCACUGGAUCUGUGGGAGAUAUGGCUGAGCUCGGCAUUUCUGAAGCUUUUAAAGUUAAGCAGGCCAUAUUACUCUCUGCAACUGAGGCUGCUGAAAUGAUUCUCAGAGUGGACGAAAUCAUUACUUGUGCCCCAAGAAGGAGAGAAGACAGAAUGUGAAAUCUAGGACGUUUUUUUCUGGACAAGGACAUUUGUUGUAAUGCUCUCGGUUUUCUUGGCAUUUGCAAGGCAUCAGUACCGCAUUGAUAUUAAUUUCACCGAGGAUUCCUCGUGAUUUUUUUGAGCUUCAGUUGUGUUCCGGAAACGCAGCCAUUGUUACCGAAUUCUUGCAUUUUGGAAUUAAUAGCAAUUAUAUCUCGAGUGUUUUAUGAUGCAUAGUGCAUGAUAGGCCAAAAUUGGUGAUAUCUUAAUUCUGAUUCUGCUGAAUGGCGCGUACGACCUAGUUAUGGCUCUCUGAGUUGUGAAAUUGUUCUACGUGUAACUCGUUAUUUUAAGGUGCUAGUUCAGUGGUCAGACUCUUUAAUUUUAUGACUUUUAUUUUGUAUAUUGAUGCGGAAUCGGCCAUGGUACGGAUUGAAAUUUAUUAAAAUUAAAGAGUCUGACCACUGAACUA
Molecule: unclassified non-coding RNA, 665 nt
Filed under: Hevea brasiliensis (rubber tree)
Lineage: Eukaryota; Viridiplantae; Streptophyta; Magnoliopsida; Malpighiales; Euphorbiaceae
Source: RNAcentral